CCUACGGGAGGCAGCAGUGGGGAAUAUUGGACAAUGGGCGAAAGCCUGAUCCAGCCAUGCCGCGUGUGUGAAGAAGGUCUUCGGAUUGUAAAGCACUUUAAGUUGGGAGGAAGGGCAGUAAGUUAAUACCUUGCUGCUUUGACGUUACCGACAGAAUAAGCACCGGCUAACUUCGUGCCAGCAGCCGCGGUAAU
Molecule: ribosomal RNA, 194 nt
Filed under: uncultured Pseudomonas sp.
Lineage: Bacteria; Pseudomonadati; Pseudomonadota; Gammaproteobacteria; Pseudomonadales; Pseudomonadaceae
Description: partial 16S ribosomal RNA
Rfam family: Bacterial small subunit ribosomal RNA
Source: RNAcentral